Molecule: ribosomal RNA, 133 nt
Filed under: uncultured bacterium
Lineage: Bacteria
Description: partial 16S ribosomal RNA
Source: RNAcentral
GGAGUUAGCCGGUGCUUAUUCAUAUAAUACCGUCAUUAUCUUCUUAUAUAAAAGGAGUUUACGCACCGAAAUGUGUCAUCCUCCACGCGGCGUUGCUGCAUCAGACUUUUCGUCCAUUGUGCAAUAUUCCCCC